CACUGACGCGUAAAGGACGCGUAGGCCGGUCUGUAAGUCAGGUGUGAAAUGCAAUGGCUCAACCAUUGAACUGCACUUGAAACUGCGGACCUAGAGUAUGGAAGGGGCAGAUGGAAUUAGUGGUGUAGGGGUAAAAUCCGUAGAUAUCACUAGGAAUACCGAAAGCGAAGGCGAUCUGCUGGGACAUAACUGACGCUGAGGCGUGAAAGCGUGGGGAGCAAACAGGAUUAGAUACCCUGGUAGUCCACGCCCUAAACGAUGAAUGUUAGUCGUCGGGGUACUCGUUACUUCGGUGAUGCACCAAACGGAUUAAACAUUCCGCCUGGGGAGUACGGUCGCAAGAUUAAAACUCAAAGGAAUAGACGGGGACCCGCACAAGCGGUGGAGCAUGUGGUUUAAUUCGACGAUACACGAAGAACCUUACCUGGUCUUGACAUAGGAAGAACUUACUAGAGAUAGUUUGGUGCUAGCUUGCUAGAACUUCCAUACAGGUGCUGCACGGCUGUCGUCAGCUCGUGUCGUGAGAUGUUGGGUUAAGUCCCGCAACGAGCGCAGCCCUCGUCGUUAGUUGCUAACAGUUCGGCUGAGCACUCUAAGAAGACUGCCUUCGCAAGGAGGAGGAAGGUGAGGACGACGUCAAGUCAUCAUGGCCCUUACGGCCAGGGCUACACACGUGCUACAAUGGGACGUACAGAGAGUUGCGAUACCGCGAGGUGGAGCCAAUCUCAUAAAGCGUCUCUCAGUUCGGAUUGUUCUCUGCAACUCGAGAGCAUGAAGCUGGAAUCACUAGUAAUCGUAGAUCAGCAUUGCUACGGUGAAUACGUUCCCGGGUCU
RNAcentral lists this ribosomal RNA (834 nucleotides) under uncultured bacterium. Its description in RNAcentral is "SSU rRNA". It matches the Rfam family "Bacterial small subunit ribosomal RNA", at positions 547 to 1381 of the family's 1533-position model. The record is from RNAcentral.